Molecule: ribosomal RNA, 253 nt
Filed under: uncultured bacterium
Lineage: Bacteria
Description: partial 16S ribosomal RNA
Rfam family: Bacterial small subunit ribosomal RNA
Source: RNAcentral
UACGUAGGUGGCGAGCGUUGUCCGGAAUUACUGGGCGUAAAGGGAGCGUAGGCGGUUUUUUAAGUGGGAUGUGAAAUCCCCGGGCUCAACCUGGGAAUUGCAUUCCAAACUGGAAGACUAGAGUGCAGGAGAGGAAAGUGGAAUUCCAAGUGUAGCGGUGAAAUGCGUAGAGAUUUGGAGGAACACCAGUGGCGAAGGCGACUUUCUGGACUGUAACUGACGCUGAGGCUCGAGAGCGUGGGGAGCAAACAGG